This 65-nucleotide non-coding RNA is filed under the name Pontibacter korlensis. RNAcentral's name for it is "Fluoride sequence". It matches the Rfam family "Fluoride riboswitch aptamer (crcB RNA motif)". The record is from RNAcentral. Lineage: Bacteria; Pseudomonadati; Bacteroidota; Cytophagia; Cytophagales; Hymenobacteraceae.
GCUACAAACGGCAAUGAUGUCUGCCUUGAACCGCUCUACCCAGAGCUGAUGACUUCUACUUUAAG